UGGAGCAGAAAAGCAGAUAUUAUAUUGAGAAAGCAAGACUUUAAUGAAGACAAUAGCCCAGUGAGUGGCACUUUACAUUCCAUUGUUUUUGUAUUUUAAUAUUUUACAUGAACCCUUCUGUUUUUUCCACAUAAUCGAGCUGAAUCCCAUGGAUCCUGUUCUUUCCCUUUUCUGAAAGAACAACCACUGAGAGCAUGUUAAUCCUUAAACUCCUAGGAGCCGUCACAUGGAUCUAUCAUCGCAGCAUGGCCUGGCCAGCAUGUGCCACUAUGGGGGAGGUGAGAGAGUGCAGCUCCCGGGAGGCACUGGGGUCUAAAUGCCAUGACAUGUGACUCCAAAUAUAGGCGGGGGUUAGGGGAAGGCGUGGGUGGCACCGCAGCAGGUCGGCUUUCAAAAAAACAAUCUGCAGCUGCCCCAGCAACCCCCCAAACAGACUUCAACAAGAGAUGAAGUUACAUGAAAGAGAGAGAGAUGGGUGCUCAUCAGUGAUUUGAUAUAAAUUAUUCUGGGUAGAUAGGUGUCAUGAGCCUGAAUGGUGAAGUAGGUAGGAUUAAACAGAGAAAAAUACUCAACUAAAGAAUUAUAUUCUUUCCUAAUCAUUAAUUGAAUAUUUUCCCCAGAAUGUUUAGAUUUUCAAGUUCUUUAAAAAUGCAUUAAAAAUUUUGUUGUUUGUG
Molecule: long non-coding RNA, 674 nt
Organism: Ictalurus punctatus (channel catfish)
Lineage: Eukaryota; Metazoa; Chordata; Actinopteri; Siluriformes; Ictaluridae
Exons: 2
Source: RefSeq, a predicted model, not a curated record